This 355-nucleotide ribosomal RNA is filed under the name uncultured bacterium. RNAcentral's name for it is "bacterial SSU rRNA". It matches the Rfam family "Bacterial small subunit ribosomal RNA", at positions 8 to 350 of the family's 1533-position model. The record is from RNAcentral.
AGAGUUUGAUCCUGGCUCAGGAUGAACGCUAGCUACAGGCUUAACACAUGCAAGUCGAGGGGAAACGACAUCGAAAGCUUGCUUUUGAUGGGCGUCGACCGGCGCACGGGUGAGUAACGCGUAUCCAACCUGCCCACCACUUGGGGAUAACCUUGCGAAAGUAAGACUAAUACCCAAUGACGUCUCUAGAAGACAUCUGAAGGAGAUUAAAGAUUUAUCGGUGAUGGAUGGGGAUGCGUCUGAUUAGCUUGUUGGCGGGGUAACGGCCACCAAGGCGACGAUCAGUAGGGGUUCUGGAGAGGAAGGUCCCCCANACUUGGAACUGAGACACGGUCCAAACUCCUAACGGGAGGGA